UGUCUUGGUAAAGAAAGUUGGAGGAGGCAGAAAAGCUUGAUGGAGGAGGACAGAGAAGAAGCUUCAUGAGGUGGAGGAGGCUGGACGAACAGACAGCAGAAGAGGCGGGAUGAAAAGGCGGAGGAGGAGGCUUGACGCUCAAGUUUGCCAGCGGUGGAGAGUUCAACAAGAAGAUGGCGGCCUCUUGAUUAGUUUUAGUGUUGUAUUUUUUUUUUAAUUUUGUUUAAUGGUAUAAACCAAUUAAAAAUUACAAACCGGUUCAAAUAUUUUGUAAACCUGUUUUAAUAUAUACAUUAUAUGUUUAUCUAUAUUCUAGAGUGAUGAGAGGACGAGAUCUUUGUAGAUGCAGUUUUGAGUGAUGAGGUCUGACACGGAGGCCAAGCCGUGGACGUUAAUGGCAGCAUAGAAGUUGGAGACACCUUCAGAGUUCAGACACAGAUCUGGGAGCUGUUCGGGACGCAAUGUCGAUGGCUGUCUCCCACUACACAGCUGAUUUUGCAGACGGACUACAAGAUGUGAACAAUUGCCACCGAGUGACGGUUGUUGGUUUCAAACUAUUGCCAGAAAGGUUUAUUCUUUGGACUGGACACCUGAGAUGAACCAGAUUGUCAGUGCAUCUCAACAAGACACACUCAGUUAGAAGAGAAAAGUGAUGGAAAAGGGAAAGACACAACCAAAGGGCCAAUUGAUAAAGUGCUGAAAAUGCAAUCGUUUAGAUCUUGAAAAGAUACUGAAAAUGUGGGAGAUUGGCACAUUUCUCCAUUAGAGUUACUCCACAGUGGUCCUUUGCUUGAUUUUGAUCUUCUUCCAGGAUGUUGUUCUUCAAUGGCUGCCUUGAGUUUACCGUCUCUACCAAAUGUCCUUAUCUCAGACACUUGUGGAGAAGCUUAUGGUCUCUGUCAAAGCUGCAGAGCCUUUUCCUUCAAUCGUCGCAGCAUCUAAAACUAUUGCAGUGGUUUCAUCUGGAUUGUGUGGAGAUCACGGAGAUGCCAUACAUUUGACAACAAUAAUGCUACCGAUAUCAAUGAACAUAAAUUUUUCUCCAACUCUCUCUUUUUCAUGUUACCACCACUCCAUUAUAAGAAGCUAUCUAGAGAUUUUGUUUCUGUCACCAGCUAUCUAGAGAUUUCAUACUUCAUAAUAACUUUAAAAAUUGAAAAAUAAUCUACAUUUUCAUCUUUUUAGUAUAUAGAUCAAAUCUAUUAACGACACAUUUAAUAAUUGAUGAAAUAUUUCUAAUUAUUUUCAAUUGAACCAAGUUCUUUUCAACAAACUUUCUUUGAACAUAUAAUAAUAUAGUAAAUACGUAAAUAUAAUUCAAAAAUAUAUAGAAUUCUGAAAAAAAAAAUAAGAGUAAGAGAUGUAAAGUUUUUUUUUGAACACGAGAUUAAAAGGUACUUCCUACAUUAGAAAAAAACAAUAGUUUGUUCCCCAAAAGUAUACAUAAAUUAACAAGAAAUUAAAAAAAACACAACUAAUGACUAAUAUAUAAGCAGAACAGAAAUCUAAUUAGAAAUUCUGGAAAA
This is a long non-coding RNA of Brassica napus (rape), 1526 nucleotides long. RefSeq lists it as uncharacterized. Lineage: Eukaryota; Viridiplantae; Streptophyta; Magnoliopsida; Brassicales; Brassicaceae. The record is from RefSeq and is a predicted model, not a curated record. The transcript has 4 exons.